Molecule: ribosomal RNA, 1446 nt
Filed under: Arthrobacter flavus
Lineage: Bacteria; Bacillati; Actinomycetota; Actinomycetes; Micrococcales; Micrococcaceae
Description: bacterial SSU rRNA
Rfam family: Bacterial small subunit ribosomal RNA
Source: RNAcentral
GAUGAACGCUGGCGGCGUGCUUAACACAUGCAAGUCGAACGAUGAUCCCAGCUUGCUGGGGGAUUAGUGGCGAACGGGUGAGUAACACGUGAGUAACCUGCCCUUGACUCUGGGAUAAGCCUGGGAAACCGGGUCUAAUACUGGAUAUGACCUUCUGGCGCAUGCCAUGUUGGUGGAAAGCUUUAUUGCGGUUUUGGAUGGACUCGCGGCCUAUCAGCUUGUUGGUGGGGUAAUGGCCUACCAAGGCGACGACGGGUAGCCGGCCUGAGAGGGUGGACGGCCACACUGGGACUGAGACACGGCCCAGACUCCUACGGGAGGCAGCAGUGGGGAAUAUUGCACAAUGGGCGCAAGCCUGAUGCAGCGACGCCGCGUGGGGGAUGAAGGCCUUCGGGUUGUAAACCUCUUUCAGUAGGGAAGAAGCGAAGUGACGGUACCUGCAGAGCUUGUUGGUAAGAAGCGCCGGCUAACUACGUGCCAGCAGCCGCGGUAAUACGUAGGGCGCAAGCGUUAUCCGGAAUUAUUGGGCGUAAAGAGCUCGUAGGCGGUUUGUCGCGUCUGCCGUGAAAGUCCGGGGCUUAACUCCGGAUCUGCGGUGGGUACGGGCAGACUAGAGUGAUGUAGGGGAGACUGGAAUUCCUGGUGUAGCGGUGAAAUGCGCAGAUAUCAGGAGGAACACCGAUGGCGAAGGCAGGUCUCUGGGCAUUAACUGACGCUGAGGAGCGAAAGCAUGGGGAGCGAACAGGAUUAGAUACCCUGGUAGUCCAUGCCGUAAACGUUGGGCACUAGGUGUGGGGGACAUUCCACGUUUUCCGCGCCGUAGCUAACGCAUUAAGUGCCCCGCCUGGGGAGUACGGCCGCAAGGCUAAAACUCAAAGGAAUUGACGGGGGCCCGCACAAGCGGCGGAGCAUGCGGAUUAAUUCGAUGCAACGCGAAGAACCUUACCAAGGCUUGACAUGAACUGGAACAGCGCAGAGAUGUGUUGGCCGCUUGCGGCCGGUUUACAGGUGGUGCAUGGUUGUCGUCAGCUCGUGUCGUGAGAUGUUGGGUUAAGUCCCGCAACGAGCGCAACCCUCGUUCUAUGUUGCCAGCGCGUUAUGGCGGGGACUCAUAGGAGAGCGGCCGGUUUACAGGUGGUGCAUGGUUGUCGUCAGCUCGUGUCGUGAGAUGUUGGGUUAAGUCCCGCAACGAGCGCAACCCGGAGGAAGGUGGUCAACUCUCGUUCUAUGUUGCCAGCGCGUUAUGGCGGGGACUCAUAGGAGACUGCCGGGGGGACGACGUCAAAUCAUCAUGCCCCUUAUGUCUUGGGCUUCACGCAUGCUACAAUGGCCGGUACAAAGGGUUGCGAGUCACGAAAGUUGGUAACACCCGAAGCCGGUGGCCUAACCCCCUUGUGGGGAGGGAGCUGUCCAAGGUGGGACCGGCGAUUGGGACUAAGUCGUAAC